CUUGUCAUUGAAGUAUACGUUUUCGAUCAAUAACAAUGUGCGACUUUUUACAAGUUGUGCAAUUGGAAUGACUACAAUCUAAAGAGUUUAAGGAGGAUCAAUUGGGUGCAAGUCCGGUGCCAGCAGCCGCGGUAAUUCCAGCUCCAAUAGGAUAUAUCAAAGUUGUUGCAGUUAAAAAGCUCGUAGUUGAAGUUUUGGAGAGUAGUCUUUGUCUUUUCCGGCUUGGGGAGCAAUCCUCUUCGGGAAGGGCACUCUCUCCACAUUGUGGACCAUCCCUAUUUGUUUUUGCGAUUUUUUUCGCGAAAGCAUAAAGGGCCACUCCGUCACUGAGGGCAAAUUGGAGUGCUCAGAGCAGGCUUUACAGCUUUGAACAUAUUAGCUUGGAAUGACAAGAUACGACUCUGGUCGGUUUAUUUUGUUGGUUAUUUAGACUAGAGUAAUGAUUAACAGGAACAGUAGCGGUGGUACUCGUAUUGAAAGGUCAGAGGUGAAAUUCUUGGAUUCUUUCAAGACGAACGACUGCGAAAGCAUUUACCAAGGAUGUUUUCAUUAAUCAAGAACGAAAGCUUGGGGAUCGAAGAUGAUUAGAUACCAUCGUAGUCCAACGCCAUAAACGAUGCCGACUCGGGAUUGGUAGGUGUUCUUUUUAAAACAUGAACCCUAUCAGCACCGUAUGAGAAAUCAAAGUCUUUGGGUUCCGGGGGGAGUAUAGUCGCAAGGAAGAAACUUAAAGGAAUUGACGGAAGGGCACACCAGAGGUGGAGCCUGCGGUUUAAUUUGACUCGACACGGGGAAACUUACCAGGUCCAGACAUGAUGAGGAUUGACAGUUUGAAAGCACUUUCUUGAUUUCAUGGGUGGUGGUGCAUGGCCGUUCUUAGUUGGUGGAGUGAUUUGUCUGGUUGAUUCCGAUAACGAACGAGACGGGGGGAGUUUACUAGUUUUGCAUAAUCUAAUUCGCGUUAGAUGGAACUUCUUUACUCGACAACUCGGUUUUACCGAGAGGAAGCGCCCCGCAAUAACAGGUCUGUGAUGCCCUUAGAUGUUCUGGGCUACACGCGCGCUACAAUGACGAGUUCAACGAGUUUUUUAUUCCUUGUCCGGAAGGAUGUGGGUAAUCUUUUCAAUGCUCGUCGUGAUGGGGCUAGAUUUUUGCAAUUAUUAAUCUUCAACGAGGAAUCUCUAGUAUGUGCAGUUCAUCAGACUGCGAAGAAUGCGUCCCUGCCCUUUGUACACACCGCCCGUCGCACCUACCGAUUGGACGAUCCGGCAAGAUGUUUGGAGUGUUGUGUUUGUGAUGUAAAAGUCGUGAACAUGACGCAAAGCUCUU
This 1329-nucleotide ribosomal RNA is filed under the name metagenome. Its description in RNAcentral is "SSU rRNA". It matches the Rfam family "Eukaryotic small subunit ribosomal RNA", at positions 448 to 1759 of the family's 1831-position model. The record is from RNAcentral.